This 254-nucleotide ribosomal RNA is filed under the name uncultured bacterium. RNAcentral describes it as "partial 16S ribosomal RNA". It matches the Rfam family "Bacterial small subunit ribosomal RNA", at positions 524 to 776 of the family's 1533-position model. The record is from RNAcentral.
UACAGAGGAUGCAAGCGUUGUUCGGAAUUAUUGGGCGUAAAGAGCUCGUAGGCGGCUCAGUAAGUCGGGUGUGAAACCUCCAGGCUCAACCUGGAGACGCCACCCGAUACUGCUGUGGCUUGAGUCCGGUAGGGGAGCGUGGAAUUCCUGGUGUAGCGGUGAAAUGCGCAGAUAUCAGGAAGAACACCCGUGGCGAAGGCGGCUCUCUGGGACGGUACUGACGCUGAGACGCGAAAGCGUGGGGAGCGAACAGG